GACGAACGCUGGCGGCGUGCUUAACACAUGCAAGUCGAACGGAAAGGCCCUGCUUUUGUGGGGUGCUCGAGUGGCGAACGGGUGAGUAACACGCGAGUAACCUGCCCUUGACUGUGGGAUAACUUCAGGAAACUGGGGCUAAUACCGGAUAGGAGCUCCUGCUGCAUGGUGGGGGUUGGAAAGUUUCGGCGGUUGGGGAUGGACUCGCGGCUUAUCAGCUUGUUGGUGGGGUAGUGGAUUACCAAGGCUUUGACGGGUAGGCGGCCUGAGAGGGUGACCGGCGACCAGGGGCCUAAGAUACGGCGCAGACGCCUACGGGAGGCAGCAGUGGAGAAUCUUGCACAAUGGGCGGAAGCCUGAGGCAGCGGCGCCGCGUGCGGGAUGACGGCCUUCGGGUUGUAAACCGCUUUCGCAUGUGACGAAGCGUGAGUGACGGUAAUGGGUAAGGAAGCACCGGCUAACUACGUG
RNAcentral lists this ribosomal RNA (468 nucleotides) under uncultured bacterium. Its description in RNAcentral is "partial 16S ribosomal RNA". It matches the Rfam family "Bacterial small subunit ribosomal RNA", at positions 28 to 507 of the family's 1533-position model. The record is from RNAcentral.